This 491-nucleotide ribosomal RNA is filed under the name uncultured bacterium. Its description in RNAcentral is "partial 16S ribosomal RNA". It matches the Rfam family "Bacterial small subunit ribosomal RNA", at positions 29 to 506 of the family's 1533-position model. The record is from RNAcentral.
AGUGAACGCUGGCGGUAGGCCUAACACAUGCAAGUCGAACGGCAGCACAGUAAGAGCUUGCUCUUACGGGUGGCGAGUGGCGGACGGGUGAGGAAUACAUCGGAAUCUACUUUUUCGUGGGGGAUAACGUAGGGAAACUUACGCUAAUACCGCAUACGACCUACGGGUGAAAGCAGUGGAUCUUCGGACCUUGCGCGAUUGAAUGAGCCGAUGUCGGAUUAGCUAGUUGGCGGGGUAAAGGCCCACCAAGGCGACGAUCCGUAGCUGGUCUGAGAGGAUGAUCAGCGACACUGGAGCUGAGACACGGUCCAGACUCCUACGGGAGGCAGCAGUGGGGAAUAUUGGACAAUGGGCGCAAGCCUGAUCAAGCCAUACCGCGUGGGUGAAGAAGGCCUUCGGGUUGUAAAGCCCUUUUGUUGGGAAAGAAAAGCAGCAGGUUAAUACCCCGCUGUUCUGACGGUACCCAAAGAAUAAGCACCGGCUAACUUCGU